RNAcentral lists this ribosomal RNA (467 nucleotides) under uncultured bacterium. RNAcentral's name for it is "partial 16S ribosomal RNA". It matches the Rfam family "Bacterial small subunit ribosomal RNA", at positions 28 to 506 of the family's 1533-position model. The record is from RNAcentral.
GACGAACGCUGGCGGCGUGCUUAACACAUGCGAGUCGAACGGAAAGGCCCUGCUUUUGUGGGGUGCUCGAGUGGCGAACGGGUGAGUAACACGUGAGUAACCUGCCCUUGACUUUGGGAUAACUUCAGGAAACUGGGGCUAAUACCGGAUAGGAGCUCCUGCUGCAUGGUGGGGGUUGGAAAGUUUCGGCGGUUGGGGAUGGACUCGCGGCUUAUCAGCUUGUUGGUGGGGUAGUGGCUUACCAAGGCUUUGACGGGUAGCCGGCCUGAGAGGGUGACCGGCCACAUGGGGACUGAGAUACGGCCCAGACUCCUGCGGGAGGCAGCAGUGGGGAAUAUUGCACAAGGGGCGGAAGCCUGAUGCAGCAACGCCGCGUGCGGGAUGACGGCCUUCGGGUUGGAAACCGCUUUCGCCUGUGACGAAGCGUGAGUGACGGGAAUGGGUAAAGAAGCACAGGCUAACUACGU